CAUCUGUAACCAAGUGGCUGCUGGCUCAGUCCCUACGCCUUGUUACGGGGUCAUAAUUUUAUGCGAAAAAUCAUUAGAAAAACGUUUACACCAAUGACAGGAACUAGUUGUUGCAGUUAUCAAAGAUCAAACAGAUUCACUUUUGAUUAUCAUUUAAUUCCAAGUCCAAGAAAUAAACAUAGGACAAUGUCAAUAUCAAAUGUAUGACUUAUUACUGUAACUAUCUCGACUCUCUGUUCUUUCUCCUUAUCCACACUAUUUCUAUUCUCUACUUUCUCUACUCUACUACUGUUUUACAUUUAUUUUCACACAAUAUUUAUACUAUUAAUCAGACAAUACUUCAUUUGUAACAAUACUCAAAUUAAUAUGAC
This 371-nucleotide long non-coding RNA is filed under the name Mytilus galloprovincialis (Mediterranean mussel). The record is from RNAcentral. Lineage: Eukaryota; Metazoa; Mollusca; Bivalvia; Mytilida; Mytilidae.